UAAAAUAGAUGUUACGUCCUGUUAAUGGGGCACGUCAUCAUCGCGUACAUUUGGGAAAAACUCCCUAACGAGACCAAUGUGGAAAUCGUCCGAUAAUAGAAUGCAGACAUUUUUUUCAUGCAUGUUGGGGUUUUUCCGAAAUGCUUGAUAAUCUUAGCGGUUUAGACAAUUUAACAGUUAUGGAAUAUUACAAAUAUUUAUUAUAAGGAUAAUUUAUCAUAAUAUCGAUAUUCUCGAGCUGUUUUUAUGCUGAUUCCGCCCAGAUUCCGCAGGUUUCGCAGAAUCCGCAGGAUCCGCUAAAUCGCCAUGCCCCAAUUCCACCGGAAGAGGCUAGAGAAGCAGGUCCAGGACAGAUUGCCGCGAAAAUUUAUAAAUAGUUUGGGAAGCUGGCUUGACAUCCUGACAAAUCCGGCCAUCGAUCACUCGAUAUGUGGCCUCGAUAUGUUUACUCCCUCAAUCAGAAAGAUGCGUAAGGAGUAGGCCCUGUUUGUAAGAGGAUGCUGCGAGAGGAUGUUAUAAGUUUCCCCGAACUAUUUAUAAAUUUUCGCGGCAAUCUGUCCUGGACCUGCUUCUCUAGUCUCUUCCAAUUCCACCUUGUCAGCCACAUUCAUUGAUGACGAGAUGCGAGAUCCUAAUUGGAAUGCAAAUCUUUCAGUCAACAACAGCGAACCCGAUGAUGAUUUAGGGGGUGAUGAGGUCAAGGUCAAGAAAAAGUUGUAUGUGGUACCCGAGGACAAGUUGCUUUCCCUUUUCAAGAUCGGCCAGAAGUGUGGACACAAGGGAGCAGAGGCUACAGUUGCGUCGUUUCACGGAACACUUGUGACAAUUGCACAGCAGUGUUUCUCUUGUGAGGAGCCCACCAAGUGGAGCAGCCAGGAUAUAGUCAACGGUUACCCGUGCGGUAACAUCACAUUAUCGGCAGCUCUCCUCAGCUCUGGGAAUGUCCCCAGCAACGCCCUGAGGAUGCUAAAUCAUUGGGGAGUUCAGGGUAUUGUUCGUGGUUAUUCAUUGCAUGACACUAAGACCAACACCAUAAUAUGCACAGAACGUGUGGUGUCAACAGAACCAGAUACUAAGAAAAGUGCCGCAAUGGAAGUGUUGGGGUUAUCACGAGCUCUUGGUGUUGUUGACGAUUACUGCCCACACCUGGAGAUUAAACUGAUCACUGAUGGCCAUGCUGGUGUGUCAAAGUAUGUCGGGGAGAACCCGCACCCUGACAAGGUGACCCAUUACCUGGACAUUUGGCAUGUAGCAAAAGGGAUAAAGAAGAGGUUGGCCAAGUUGGUCAAGCGCUUUCCAGAAGUGGGCAAGUGGAAGAGGAGCAUUGUGAAUCAUCUUUAUUGGUGUGCUGUUACCAGCUACAACAAUGGGGGGAGUUGAUACUGGCCAAGUGGAUAUUCAUCGCGAACCACAUUGCCAAUGUCCAUGAACAUGACAGCGAACUUUACCAAAUGUGUGUGUUCACAUGGAAAAAUCCGUCCGAGAUGUUGGUUUGACCGAGGUUCUGAGGCAUAUGACACACUCUGCCAUAGAGUGAUCUUGAACAAGCUGGUCAUGAAAUCUGUUAAAAAGCUCAGUUCUGAUGCUCAGACCUCAGGGUUGGAGGGCUUCCACAGCACUCUUAACCAGUUUGCUCCCAAGAUGUACCACUUGGGCUACCAGGCAAUGAAGAGCAGGUGAUUUCAUUCACCAAGACCAAGGAGAACAGCAAUCAUCCAUUGGGCAUACCGACUUGCUGCUUACCAUCAGUUUACGUGGUGGACACACAACAGACUUGGCAAGCGUGUACGGAAAGUAAUACCGUCAUGUGUCGUGAAAAGAAUCCGUGCUAAGUUCCCAGACCCAGAUGGCAACUACACAGGUUUCAGGGAUGCAGACCCAGAAGAAAAUGAAGACGAUGCUAUAUAUCCGGAUUAAACAUGCACUUGUUAAGAAAAACAUUGCUAUUGCAGUAUUGUGGCUGGUGUGUGAGAGUCUACAAUGUAAAUAAUGUCAUUGUCGCAAUGCAUUCAGUGAUCCAUAAAAUGAAAUUUGAGAAUUCUUUUCAACAAUAUCAUCAACAGAGAUCAUUUCAUAAAAGUGA
RNA transcript from Lineus longissimus, 2083 nucleotides. RefSeq lists it as uncharacterized. The transcript has 7 exons. The record is from RefSeq and is a predicted model, not a curated record. Lineage: Eukaryota; Metazoa; Nemertea; Pilidiophora; Heteronemertea; Lineidae.